RNAcentral lists this ribosomal RNA (492 nucleotides) under uncultured bacterium. RNAcentral describes it as "partial 16S ribosomal RNA". It matches the Rfam family "Bacterial small subunit ribosomal RNA", at positions 29 to 507 of the family's 1533-position model. The record is from RNAcentral.
AUUGAACGCUGGCGGCAUGCUUUACACAUGCAAGUCGAACGGUAACAGGCCUUCGGGUGCUGACGAGUGGCGAACGGGUGCGUAAUGCAUCGGAACGUACCCAGAGGUGGGGGAUAACGCAGCGAAAGCUGUGCUAAUACCGCAUGUGAUCUGAGGAUGAAAGCGGGGGACCGAGCAGCAAUGUUUGGCCUCGCGCCUUUGGAGCGGCCGAUGUCGGAUUAGCUAGUUGGUGGGGUAAAGGCCUACCAAGGCGACGAUCCGUAGCUGGUCUGAGAGGACGACCGGCCACACUAGGACUGAGACACGGCCCAGACUCCUACGGGAGGCAGCAGUGGGGAAUUUUGGACAAUGGGCGCAAGCCUGAUCCAGCAAUGCCGCGUGCGGGAAGAAGGCCUUCGGGUUGGAAACCGCUUUUGGCAGGAACGAAACGGUGUCCGCUAAUACCGGGCGCUAAUGACGGUACCUGCAGAAUAAGCACCGGCUAACUACGUG